GCAGAACAGAUGAUCUUCACUCUUGGGAGCUGGAACCAGCAGGAGCUUGUUUAAUUCUGAAGGAAUGUGUGGGUUCCGCCCGCCCAGCAGAGCAGGCCCCGGCUUGACAGAGGGCCAUGGAGCCACGGGCCAGCAGCUACUGCCAAGCAGGGAGGGCUCUUCUCUUGCUGCUUCCUGGAUGCCAUGGAUUGAGUAGCUUUCCUCCGCCAUGCCUUUUCUGCUUUGGAGCCAACUGACCACAGACUGAACCCUCUGAAACUGUGAGCCACAAUAAAUCUCUCUCCUUUAAAUUUCAAUUGUUGGGUAUUUUGUCUGGAAAAUGGGAAUACAACAAAUAUAGGAAAUUGGUACUGAGAAUGGGGUCAUUGCUGUGACUGUACCUGACCAUGUAGAAGCUUUUGAAACUGGUUUGUGGGAAGAGUUUGGAAAAGUUUGGAGAUGCAGGCUAGAGAAGCUCUAGCAUGCUAUAAGCAGAGCUUGAGGGGAGAUUCCGAUCAGAGCUUAGA
Long non-coding RNA from Heterocephalus glaber (naked mole-rat), 506 nucleotides. The record is from Ensembl. NCBI's taxonomy places the organism in Eukaryota, Metazoa, Chordata, Mammalia, Rodentia, Bathyergidae.